Long non-coding RNA from Canis lupus familiaris (dog), 782 nucleotides. RefSeq lists it as uncharacterized. The record is from RefSeq and is a predicted model, not a curated record. The transcript is spliced from 3 exons. NCBI's taxonomy places the organism in Eukaryota, Metazoa, Chordata, Mammalia, Carnivora, Canidae.
UGAAACUUUGGACUUCCUUUAUGAGCCCUGCCAGGCUCCCAGCUCACUGCUUUUCACCAUAUAAGGCAAACCCCUGUGCGGGUCACAGGUGAGCCCGCUGUGACCCAGGCCUUGCUCAGCUCAGCUGCAAAGGCACUUCCAACGGAGCGCAGCGCGUAUGCACAGAUGAUUUUAGCAACGAAGAGGUUUUGACACCUUUUAUGGUUUUAGAGGAAGAAAGACUUGUGUACCACAACGGCAGAAACACGGCUUUGGCUUCAUCGUGGUGAGAAAUGGAUUCCAAGAGCACAGUAUGGAAGGAGGAAGGAGGAGAGAUUGUACGAUGGAGAAACCAGACGGACAUGACCCUGGCCAGGUGACCAAGGUCAGGACCAACUGUGAUAAGUCACCGUGAUGGCAUGUAACCUUGAUAGGACGGAUGACAAGGUGCUUUACAUCUGGGCUCUUCAUUCCUCCAAACCCACAACCCUAGUCUAAUCCAUGAGAAAAACAGCAGACGAAUCCCAACAGAGGGGGAGCUUACAAACACCAGGCCAGCGUGCCUCCAACUGCCCAGGCCAUAAAAAACAAGGAGAGUCUGAGAAACUGUCCCAGCUUGGAGAGCUCAUGUGCAGCCAUGUGUCCCUGAGAAAGAACAUUUCCUGUGAACUUUAGGAAGAGUAAAAACGGGAUCCCUGGGUGGCGCGGCGGUUUGGCGCCUGCCUUUGGCCCAGGGCGCGAUCCUGGAGACCCGGGAUCGAACCCCCACGUCGGGCUCCCGGUGCGUGGAGCCUGCUUCACCC